Gymnogyps californianus (California condor) is the source of this 2943-nucleotide long non-coding RNA. RefSeq lists it as uncharacterized. The transcript is spliced from 4 exons. The record is from RefSeq and is a predicted model, not a curated record. NCBI's taxonomy places the organism in Eukaryota, Metazoa, Chordata, Aves, Accipitriformes, Cathartidae.
GGCAGGGUGUCUUUUAGAGCCAGUGGCCUUGCAGCUCAGCAAUGGCUCCAUGUUCUCACUCAUCUGUAGGUACCAGGGUCCUGGCUCUCCCCUCCCAGAGGAGCUGAACCUCGCUCCUUCAAGAAGCCCCUUCAGGGGAAAGCAGGGCUUCUUGCUGACCUGGAAUAAUGACACAUGCCUCUGAUCCAGAGAUUCGUGUACGGAGCCAUUUGGGGAAACCACAGUGGAAACCCGAUGCAGAAAUCAGCCCUCAAAAUGGAAUUAACCUUUAGGAAGAUCUCGUAGAAUGGAUGGACCCUCAGCUGGUGUUACUUGACAUCUGUGCUAUGUGUCUCAAACCCAUGUUGUUUUUAUUAAAAGACCACGUCUUGCAAGUCAGGCUCUUCAAUGCCUUCUCCAUGGGCUGCUGGCCUGUGCUUGUUACAUCGGCGUGCGUGGCGGCAUUAGGUGUGAUUGGCGUGCGUUCCUCCGGAGGAGAUGGAGGCUGUGCUCUCGGGUGGAGGGAUGAGCUGUGCUCUGCGGGUCACCAGUCCUCUGCUCUAACACAUGUAAUUGAAGGGAUUUACUCCGUUGUCCAAUUUGAUUACAGGCAAGCUGCUGGGUAAACAAGGAAAAGGGAAGGCUUGAGUGAGACCAUACAGCUCAAAUGGUUCUUUGGAGCUGAUCUUAGCGACCUUGUUUAUGUAGAUGCAGUCACCAGUGCCUCUUGGGCACAGUCGUUGAAGGUCUCUUGCUCGUUGGAAGUGACUCAUCCAGCCAGCUCUGUUGCGGUGAACCUAUCUGGCAGGUUUUGUUUCCUGUUGUGGGCAAAUUGGGCACUCCUUAGAGCAUCAGGUUUCCAACCACCUCUUCUAGUGAGCAAGUCCUACGUUCAUGACUUCACCUGAGGAACUUGGGAUGACUUAUCAGGCAGUUCUGACCAAAAAUGGCACCUGAGGUGUUUGCCCCUUGAGGAGCUGAGUAACACGCUAAUGAGCGCAAGACAGAUCCUGCUGCUUCCCAUCCGAUGGGAAUUAAUCGUGCUUGUGCUGGAACAGAACCAGGCUGAAGGCUGGCUGACUUCUCAUGCAUUGAUUAGGGCUUACGUUUCAAGAAAGUACAAUCGAACUGAACUUUUCAAUAAAGUUUGAGCCAGGAAUGAUGUAUUGGUCAAUGAGAACUGCACCAAGAUCUCUUCCUUGAACAAGAACUGAGCUAGGGCUAAGCUGCUACACCUGGAGCAGCGUUGGUGCUGCAGUGCCCCCACCGAUGCAAAGUUGGAGACACACGCAGUAGCAUGGAGACUGAGUGAACCUGGCAUUCACAGCCUAAUUUACCUCAAAUCAAUGCCAAAGUAUUUAUCUUUGAUGAACCAAAUUGUUUGGCUUAGUGCUGGGACUUGGCAGCACACGCUGUUUGUGUCAGUAAAACGUCUUCCCAAGGCUGUCCUUCCUGCCUCCCCGCUGUGCGCAGGGCUUGCCUUUCUGCGCUGGGUUUUGGGUGAGGACCUCGAGCUGUCAGGCAGGGAUUAUCAGACUGCAGAGCCAAGGUGUCACUGCUGAACAUGGGACCUGCCCCUCGUCUGUAGGCAGAGUUGCAUGGCAGCAGAUGCUGUGAAAGGGGAAUCAGCACAACGGCUGCCAGAAGGGCCCUCCUUCGGGUUCCUUUGUCAUUGGCAGACAUCUAAAGAGAUGCAUUUAAUUUAAGUAGAGGGAAUGACCCUUUAAAACCAAGAGCCAUACCAGUGCUUGCUCAAUGGCUUAUUGCCCUGAGGAGCCCUGAUCGCAAGGCUCCUGCUGCACAGGCAGCUAUCGGGUAGGUGAAGCCAUCUGAACAUAGCAGAGCUGAGCUGGACCAGUCUGCCCCUCACCGCCUUGCAAACCAUUAAUCAAAUCCGUGCUUCAGCAAUGCAGACCUGCCCACAGCCCGAUUACUUAUUGCUUAACAAGUGCAUUAGUGUAAAUCAAGAGGCAUGUUUCAAUUAUCUAAUAGAAGAAUUAUUGAUCCACACUCUCAUUCUGAAUGUUCAAAUGUUCCAGUAGGAGAAACAAUAUUUGUAUAUGCUAUAAAAAAAAUCUAAAGUGUGUUUUUAUGUUUCAAUUAGAUUGUACUUGGCGAGCUGUUACGGGAUGCUUUUGUAGAAGCAGCUGUGGCCAAACUGUGACAGGCACAGAGUCAGCUGUGGUCCACAGCCCGGGUUCUGCUGCUGGGCUGCUGGCUCUGCUUGUUGUCAGUGGAUUGUGCAACAACGAGAGCACUAGAUGACAUUCCUCCCUUUCCGCUUAGGAUGCUGUGCAGGGAAGCCCAGGGCUUCAUUUUUAACUCGUCGUCCACUGAAAAGAGCAGCUGUUCCUCAAAAUGCCAAAUUUAGUUUCAGUGUAUUAAAUCAAAACGAGUUUCUUCUCCCCCUCCCUGCACUGUGGUUCUGAAAGUUGGGGAGGAGGAAGAGAAUUUGUGCUUCUUGAAGACAUGACAAGAGUGUAAGGAGCCUUAGGCAUCUCACUGAUAAAACAAACAUCCUGAAGGAGAGUUAAUACAAAGUGGAGUUAUUCUAAACCUUCUGGCUUUUAGUCCAUUGUCCUUUGGUAACUGUGUAAAAUGCAAUUGAAGGAUGUUCCUAUUUCCCUUUGAUAUAAAACAUGAGGCUAUUAUAGAAACUUAAAACCCAUUCCAGGCUCUUCUCAGCACUUCUUUUUAAAGCAGCUCAGUUCAGCUGUCAGUCCCUAGCUCCACUUUUAAUUAAAAUAGGUUUGUAGCCUUCACUGACAAGCAAACAUCUACAGUAAGUUCCAAACUGUAGAGCAACCCUUUCAGCUUAAGAAGGUUGUCAAAUAAAAUGUCACUUGCCCCCCUCUAUAUUUAAGAAUAAAUACACAAAUAAAGUUGUCACCUGGGAAGUUGUUGAUAACCUUUUUUCUGGGACAGGGAGCUUAGAUGAGAUAUAAUAGCAGUUGUCUGUGUACU